RNAcentral lists this small RNA (79 nucleotides) under Novosphingobium lindaniclasticum LE124. RNAcentral's name for it is "Novosphingobium sp. LE124 Makes More Granules Regulator RNA (mmgR)". It matches the Rfam family "Makes More Granules Regulator RNA (mmgR)". From Rfam's summary of the family: SuhB later renamed mmgR (makes more granules regulator) was a putative non-coding RNA found multiple times in the Agrobacterium tumefaciens genome and related alpha-proteobacteria. Other non-coding RNAs uncovered in the same analysis include: speF, ybhL, metA, and serC. Several studies inSinorhizobium meliloti showed that suhB element is indeed a non-coding RNA:firstly it was detected on Northern blot and called Sm8RNA, secondly in an RNAseq study referred to as SmelC689. Lineage: Bacteria; Pseudomonadati; Pseudomonadota; Alphaproteobacteria; Sphingomonadales; Sphingomonadaceae. The record is from Rfam by way of RNAcentral.
AGAUCGUGCCUUUCAGGCAUCCUCUCCCAAAACUUUUCACGGCCCGGUUGGAAACUCCCGGGCCUUUUUUUUGGCUUGA